This is a non-coding RNA of Schistosoma rodhaini, 45 nucleotides long. NCBI's taxonomy places the organism in Eukaryota, Metazoa, Platyhelminthes, Trematoda, Strigeidida, Schistosomatidae. The record is from Rfam.
AUCCAGCUGACGAGGCCCAAAUGGGACGAAAAGCACAUCCUGUAU